CGCUGGCGGCGCGUUUUAAGCAUGCAAGUCGAGGGGUAGAAAGUCUUCGGACUUUUGAGACCGGCGAACGGGUGAGUAACACGUAGAUAAUCUGUCUCUGGAUGGGGGAUAGCCCAUGGAAACAUGGGGUAAUACCGCAUAAGCUCUCUUUUUCAUAAGGAGGAGAGAGGAAAGGCGCUUAGGGGUCGUCCGGAGAGGAGUCUGCGGUUCAUUAGUUAGUUGGUGGGGUAAAGGCCUACCAAGGCGACGAUGAAUAGCCGGCCUGAGAGGGUGAACGGCCACACUGGGACUGAGACACGGCCCAGACUCCUACGGGAGGCAGCAGCUAAGAAUCUUCCGCAAUGGGCGAAAGCCUGACGGAGCGACGCCGCGUGAACGAAGAAGGCCUAACGGUUGUAAAGUUCUUUUCUUGGGGAGGAAUAAGCCUUGCAGGGAAUGGCAGGGUGAUGACGUUAACCGAGGAAAAAGCCCCGGCUAAUUACGUGCCAGCAGCCGCGGUAACACGUAAGGGGCGAGCGUUGUUCGGAAUUAUUGGGCGUAAAGGGCGCGUAGGCGGCAUAGCAAGUCAGGUGUGAAAGAUCUCAGCUCAACUGAGGAAACGCGCUUGAAACUGCUGUGCUGGAGUCUAGGAGGGGAAGCUGGUAUUCCUAGUGUAGGGGUGAAAUCUGUAGAUAUUAGGAAGAACACCGGUGGCGAAGGCGAGCUUCUGGCCAUAGACUGACGCUGAGGCGCGAAAGCGUGGGGAGCGAACAGGAUUAGAUACCCUGGUAGUCCACGCCGUAAACGAUGUGCACUGGGUGUCGGACCGUAAGGGUACGUAGCGAAGCUAACGCGAUA
RNAcentral lists this ribosomal RNA (837 nucleotides) under uncultured organism. Its description in RNAcentral is "bacterial SSU rRNA". It matches the Rfam family "Bacterial small subunit ribosomal RNA", at positions 34 to 862 of the family's 1533-position model. The record is from RNAcentral.